Cephus cinctus (wheat stem sawfly) is the source of this 6855-nucleotide long non-coding RNA. RefSeq lists it as uncharacterized. The record is from RefSeq and is a predicted model, not a curated record. NCBI's taxonomy places the organism in Eukaryota, Metazoa, Arthropoda, Insecta, Hymenoptera, Cephidae. The transcript has 6 exons.
CGUCGGAGGGAGCUGGAGAGAGAUAGAAAGAGUCAACGAGAGAGGGUCGAAGGUCGUACGAAGGAGUCUUCGUAUGCACCGAGGAAUAAAAAGGGUGUGGUGUGGCGAAGGAUGUUGCGAUGGCACCUCAAAAUUGUCCAUUGAUCACGGAAACGUAAUCGAGUCGACAGCUCUGAAGUGAAACGGUAACUGAUUCUAUCCUUUACAGGGUGGGGCACGAUCCCGUCGUCCAGCACAGAAGGAUACCCCGGUCGAUAGCACGCACCUACACCACCCAUCCUUGCCGCCACCACCACCACCACCACCACCCACAGUAUAGCAACCAGUGCCAGAAGGAAUACCCGGUGAAAACGCACACGCACGCGCUCACGGAUAUACCCACUACCAUCAGUCUCACGCACCACCACGCACUCGCGUCCUGGACCCGCCCGACAUCCACGGAGCCUACUACCACUACCCCCUGAGUACCCAUACGCCAAAGACCCAGAAAUUUUGCUCCUCCCGAUUUCCCAGGGUAUCAAACCAGCCUCUUUGCCGCCACCACCUACUUCGGGCAUCCUCAGAUCAUCUACUUCCUUUGGCUUCUGCUUUCUGCACCUGAAGCUUGGUUCACCUUCAUUUUUCCCGGGGGUUGAGACACAUGGGAUAAAAUCUACUUUAUUCGAAGGGAUCAGUCGUAUUGUCAGACUGUAAAAUAAUUUUACGUUGCCCCGUGUCCUGAUGUCUAUUUACAGUUAGACGUUUAAUUCCGUGAUACAACUUUAGCAGGACAUAUACAAUUGUAUAUUCGAUUCGAGUUUCGUACUGUAUUCCUGCACUUUUAAUAUUCUGGGUUAUCGAUCUCCCGUAUUCGAUUAGGUAUUUAUGUCUCUUUGUAAAUAGUACGUAUGUCCCAUAGUUCCAUGAGUUAUUUAAGGAUGUAAUGUUGGUCAGGCUAAUAUAGGUAAUUUAUUAAUUUUUCAAAUGAAAUAUGAACUUUAUUAUUCUGGAGCGCUUGGCCAACCACUUUCUUCUAGGUUUGUACUUUUCACAGUGUACAGUGUACACUUCUUCAGCCGUAAGUUAUUCGUCCUUAAGUGUUUACCGCAACCCGGGUGGUAACUCGUGUCUAAAGAGUAACAAAAGGGGCUGGUUGAAAAGGGUAGUCAAGACCCCGGCUCCACGCAUUUCCCGUCUCUGUGCACUUUGGUUAAAUGAAAAAUUCUACUUCCCAUUAAUCCCGCUAUGCGAAUCGAGCGCCACUUGUAUGCCCGGCAGAACAUCGAAAUGCAACGAGCUCUCGUCUGUCUUAAAACGUAACCAAACGAAUCCAGCGAAGAAUUUUAAGUAUGGCAUACCUACCGCAGCUUAGGUACAAUCAGUCAAACGCAAUUCGAGCUUCCGGCGCGACAGGUAAAUGAAGGAGACGUAUGGGGGAUGGUAUACGAAAGGAUCCUAUUGUGUCUUGGACUUCAAUAACAUCCAGACACUUGAUAAUAUCUGUAGGUUAUCUCGAUACUGUAUCCCGUUAUCAAGGCUGACUAUGAUAACUCGACAGUAUCCAGGCAAAUUCUUGAUGUAGUUUAUUAAUCUUAUUAGUCACUUUUUUUCCUAUUUGCACAGUAUCCCUGUUUACGAAAAAAUUUGAGGAUGGAGAUAAAAUAACAUUAUGCCAAAAAUAACUGAUCUAGAUUAUACAGACUGUAUGGAUCGCUUAUUAAAGAAAUUCAAUGUCAUAAUUUAAUAUCUAUGAAAAUUUAAAUUGAGUAUAGCGGUUAUCUGACACUUUCAAUUUCCUAUUUCCCGCCAUGCGCGACAGUCUAUGCGCGCUAACUUAAGUCUUGCGGAGCUAUCGUUUUAUGGCGCGAUAUUUGAAAUUAUUUAAUCGAGUGUAUUUUAUUUGAAUGCGACAUUCUUGGAUCGUCCGGCAAGAUAAUCAAAUCGAUAUGUCAAAAAUUGAGGUUAUGCAACCUUCCAGAAGUUACCUUCCAUUCUGCAAAGUAAUUUAUCGAUACUCGAGGACUUUUACGUCAAUAAAUUACGCUGUGACAAGAAGUUGCUGUUGAUUAAAAUACAUAUACAUGUAUAUAUAUAAAUGAAUAAAGCGAUAACCGUUAUCAGAGUUAAUAUUUGACUCAGCAAUGAUUUUAUAUUAACUUCAUUAAUAUAUAUCAUUAAAUCUAUCGCUUAUGAUAGAUACUAUCUAAUAUAUUAUCUAGCACAUUAUAUAAACGACAAUUGAAUAAAGUCGAGCAAUUUUUUUUUCACGAUUGUCAAAAUUAAAAUCGAAUCGCAAAAAUUCAAUGAAAUUUCAUCAAAGAAAACGUACUGAGCGUUUAUUUAUCUACUCUGCUAGCAGCUCACAUAGAAAUUCUUCAAACGUAAUUAUGAUUUAUAUAUAUAAUUAAAUCUAUCGCUUAUGAUAGAUACUAUCUAAUAUAUCAUCUAGCACAUUAUAUAAACGACAAUUGAAUGAAGUCGAGAAAUUUUUUUUUCACGAUUGUCAAAAUUAAAAUCGAAUCGCAAAAAUUCAAUGAAAUUUCAUCAAAGAAAACGUACUGAGCGUUUAUUUAUCUACUCUGCUAGCAGCUCACAUAGAAACUCUUCAAUCGUAAUUAUGAUAAGGGGGGGCCAUGACGUAAGCAACCUGAAAAAGCAGGCAACUCGUUUGGUUUUUCAAGUGUCGACAUCUGUGGGCAACUAUGCUCGAUCUCGUCUUGUAUACGUCAUGGUCCGUAGGGUCUUUAAUAAUAAUAACGGCAUUAAAUAGCAGACUAUAGGAAAAGAAAAAAAAAUGUGGCAAAUCAAAAUAAUAAUAAUAAAAAUCAAAACCUUCGCGAGGAUAACUCAUUGAAUUUUCUAACGAAAUUGAUCAACUUUUUAGUCGGACAUAAAAAUUUGUUCAAUGACUCACUGCGACCUCGAAGAAAUGAGACAAGAUCGUUCUUGGAACGUAAAAUGCAGGAAGUGACAAAUGAAUUCCGCUUUCCAGGAACGUGUAUUACUUGGGUACGUUGUACGUGGGAAUUGAGAAAUUUGACUAGUAGUAGUGAGGAAAAAGGUCGUACGACGUGUUUCGAAAAUUUUGUUAAAAAUAAAUAUAUAUAUAUAUAUAUAUAUAUAUAUACCCAUACGUAGAGCGUGCAAAAAAGACGGAAGUCAAUAAUGACGUCAGCUGAUUCACCGGACGUAGCGAAAUUUCGUUCAUCACGGCGAUAGUCACGCUCUAUUAAUUCGACGUAGCAAUCCUGUCGAAUUAAGUAAAUUUCCGACUCGUGGGACGUGCAGAAGCGCUAAUAGGAACGCAAAAUGUCGUGGAAGAUAGGCGGUUGAGAAAUGACGGUCGUUUAUUCGAAUGCUUUAGUGCAUCGGUGAGUACGAGGUUAAUUCAUUAAGCCCGGGACACAUGGUAAAAUGAAUUCUAUACGGGAAUCUGGAAAUAUGUAUGCGGUAAAUAAAAAGAUUUUUUUACAUAUACCACUGUCCGUAGGCAAUUGCAAUGGGGACUGACUUCAAGUUGCAUCUAAUUUGGUGAGUCUAAAAAUAACGCGACGGUGGCUUCUCUCCGGUGUAUUUAUCCUUGGCGUAACUUUGACCGUUGACACGAUGAUCUUGGCGCCGAGCCUGCAUCACUGAAAUCCGCACGUUCCUUGCCAAAGCGUGAGAAAACGAGGUAAAUUGGAAACAUUGCCAGCUGCCGAGUCAGAAAAUCCCGCAUUUCUGCAUAAUCUUUUUUACUCGAAUACGUCGCUUAUUAAUACAAAUGCCUGCACUACGUGAUGGGUAAUGAAAAACGAAGACGCAUUGAAUCUUCUUGAUACGAAGUACAGCUGCUUUACCAGCUGUUAGCAAGUAAUUUGAAUGAAAGAUGAGAACCUAUUUUUUCUUUAUUAUACACAAGAAGGGAAUACCCAUAGGAAUUUAAAACUUUCCGCUGGUACAGUCACGCGGAAUGCUGUCAUCUGUGUGCACGAGUGACCGCGAGACUGACUCUGAUGAAGCAUAACUUUUUUUUCGUUAAUCAAGGUAACCAACGGAAUUUCUAAACGAAGGUUACCCCGCCGAUCAACGAAGCGUGAAUAUACCUUUUUACGAUAACAUAACGCUACGUAACAUUGUCAGAGUACAGAUUACCUUUUGAGUUUUAAAUUUUCUACGAGUCAUGGUACAGGAAUUCGUAUUACGUAAUAAAAGAAAUCAAUUGUCAUCCGAUUCGGUAUAAUUUACUCAACCCAUUUUCGUGUACAAGUGAUUUACAAAUAUCAGCAUUCACGAAUUUAUUUUAAAUCUUGCUGCUACAUAAAGUAACCGAAACUUCACGUGUAUUAUUCCUCGUCUUUAAUCAAAGAACAUAAUAUAUUUUUUUAAUGUUCCUUCGAACACUCCAAUGUAGAUAACACAGGUAUUCCGCUAGAGGUAUACCGGUACCGCAGAGCGUUGCGCCAUCUCUGAACAGCCAGGUGAACAUACGUCACGUUCACCCAUAAGUUCCGAUUUAACGCGACGCGCAAGACCUGCAACGUUGUCGGGCGACAAUGGGCAGAAUGCGAAUACGCGGAGCGCGAUUAUUUGGCCGCGUUUCAAAAAUCAUUGGAUUUGAGCACAGGUACCUGUUAAGUACCUAGUAAAUAGUAAUUAGUAUACAAUGCACAGGCAUAGGCAGCACUUCAAGUCAAUCAUGUAGCGUUGUCUCCUGAUACGACUAGCACGCGACGUGACAUACUCAAGAAGACAGUAUUGCAUAGAGUAUACAUUGAAGUGUUACGUCAGUAAAUGCAAAAGGAAAGAACAAGAGGAUCACCCGUGUUAUUCUGGCAGUUGGCAAUGUUCAAACAAGACUUUAACCACGUAGUGCACAGAUCCUCUCGCAACAGUUCUGGCGCGAUUCUCGUGAAUCCGUGACGUUAUUGCGCAAGCAGAAAAUGGUAAUUACGUAACGAUCUCCGGUGUUUCGAGGGUUCCUAAACCGUAGCAGCCAGGACGACCACAACAAAAUAUUCUAAAUCCGUCGUGGGCAAUGAGGUGCUAGACUCCGAGGAGGCUAGUGAGGAACGAAGAAAAAGAAGAGGUAGAAGGGAGACACUAAAAAACCCUAGAAGAUGCCCCGGCUCAACCGUCCCAGCGAUUUAUAAUUAGUACAGCCAACGCUUUCUGAUCUAUAGAUCGUACAAGAAUCGAGCGCUAUUUUCUACCAUAAAGCCGCAGUGCUGCUACGUUUGACCUGCUGUGCAGAAAAGGCUGUGACGCUAAGGUCAGAAACUGGAUCGUUUGAACGUCAUUGUAGCGUUAUGAAGCCUUUAUAUAAAUUAUUCGAGCUACACUUGCAUAUGACGCUCAUUUUAGAACAGCAUUGGUACCACGUGCAAACUCGCACGGAAUUCUUCGACCAAUAAGAAAAUCGAUCGGCCAUAGUCAAGCUGAUCAAUUAUGACUGAAGUUUUAAAAUGGCUGGCGCCUCUGUCGAAAUUUGCGAUGAAAGUAUCGCCGGAAGAUUUACAAAAGCAAGAGGGAAAAAAUAGACAUUUUUUACCGCAAAAAGAUGGCGACGACAAAUCAUUAAUCACUUGAUAAGUUUCCUUGCUCGUAUAUCGAGAGCCUCUUCAAAGCGAUGACUGCUUUUACCAUUGGAGCUUAUAAUGUUUUCAUUACAAACACGGCAAGAGCUUUCGCUGGAGGCUACGUUUAGAGAAGAAGAGGACUGACGAAAACAUUCGCAAGCAGGGGUCAAAAGGUGAUCGCUCUUUGCUCUGCUGAAAUUGUUUAAUUAUUUAUAAUCAUAAGAUGUAGGUAUCUCGGAGAUACGUUCAAUGACUGUCUACUAAUCGAAUACAAAGUGGGAGUUUAACGAUUAGUCAUCGAUCAGGUAUUCUUGUGCUUACGCCUAGUCUAAAUGUCUGGGUUCCCGUCUGCCUCCGGAUUAGAUUAGAAGAACAGUUAGAGAGCCUUGCGAUUCGGCUAACGAGCCGAGGAAACCACGGGGAGUUCAAAGAUCUUUCUCUGUCCUAGACAAAAAUAGAUGGCGCAACGUGCGAGCUUUCGUGCGAGAGGGGCAAAGAGCUAAGUCGCUAAUGGGAGUUGACAAGAUUAAUAGUACGAGGCUGCAUUUCUACGUGCGUUCAAACUACAUUCCAGACGGCUCGGGAGAGACGGGGUUGCAACGUGUGAAAAUGUACCUUGGGUUAUAAACCAUAGUCAAUUUUUGUUCAAUGGUCAGGGUAUUUUCGUUCGAUUAUUCAUCUUGCCUAUUGCAUGCUUAAGGGAGGGGAUGAUUUAUGUCGUUAACGAUUAUCUUAAUUAGCGAUUGCGAACGGCCAAUUGUUAUGCAAUCGCGUGAUAACUGUAUGGUAAAAUAAUUACAGGGUCGGGUAAUUUAAUUAGUGAAUCAAAUAGACUGUCUGCUUCGCCUGGAUUAUUAGCUGCAGGUAUUAUCGACUCUUCCAAGAUCGAUACACCUUGGUGGAAGAGUUAGCAGCUCGUGAGGAUGGAGAAGCCACGAUAACGCGAAAUCUAUAUAUUUCUUUUAAUUUUUCUAAAUAAAAUUCAACUUUUUCAAUACCAUGAAUAUAAAAAUAGUAAUAUUUUUACUUUUUCCAUAUUAAGUAUCCAUCUAUAUCGCCAUAACAGUCUCUCUACUUGUUUGUAAUAGAGUCUAUCCAUGAGUUUAAUGUUUUUUUUUUGGACACUCGUCAAACAAUGUAAUUAUACGUAAAUCACGUAUCUUCGUAAAAUCAUGGAAAUAUUCGGUAACAUAUAGCCAAACAAAAUGUAAUUUAAAAACCACGCACGUGCAUACUUUGUAAGAAUUUUAGAGUGUUACAUAUAGCUCUUUAGAAACUUCAUUUUUUAUUCAUAAAACAAAAACAUUUAACUAGUGGA